This 387-nucleotide ribosomal RNA is filed under the name uncultured bacterium. RNAcentral describes it as "bacterial SSU rRNA". It matches the Rfam family "Bacterial small subunit ribosomal RNA", at positions 28 to 416 of the family's 1533-position model. The record is from RNAcentral.
GACGAACGCUGGCGGCGUGCUUAACACAUGCAAGUCGAACGGUGACCCGGAGCUUGCUCCGGUGAUCAGUGGCGAACGGGUGAGUAACACGUGGGCAACCUGCCCCAGACUCUGGGAUAACUCCGGGAAACCGGGGCUAAUACCGGAUACGAAUCGAGUUGGCAUCUUCUCGAUUGGAAAGUUUUUCGGUCUGGGAUGGGCCCGCGGCCUAUCAGCUUGUUGGUGGGGUAAUGGCCUACCAAGGCGACGACGGGUAGCCGGCCUGAGAGGGCGACCGGCCACACUGGGACUGAGACACGGCCCAGACUCCUACGGGAGGCAGCAGUGGGGAAUAUUGCGCAAUGGGCGAAAGCCUGACGCAGCGACGCCGCGUGAGGGACGACGGCC